GCCGGGCAUGAUGGCACGUGCCUGUAGUCCCAGCUACUCGGGAGGCUGAGGUGGGAGGAUCAUUUGAGCCCAGAAGUUCUGGGCUGUAGUGUACUAUGCCGAUUGGGUGUCCACACUAAGUUCAGCAUCAGUAUGGUGACCUUCCGGGAGCCGGGGACCACCAGGUUGCCUAAGGAGGAAUGAACUGGCCCAGGUUGGAAACGGAGCAGGUCAAAACUCCCAUGCUGACCAGUAGUGGGAUCACACCUGUGAAUAGACACUGCACUCCAGCCCAAGCAACAUAGCGAGACCCUGUCUCU
Molecule: signal recognition particle RNA, 299 nt
Filed under: Saimiri boliviensis boliviensis (Bolivian squirrel monkey)
Lineage: Eukaryota; Metazoa; Chordata; Mammalia; Primates; Cebidae
Description: Metazoan signal recognition particle RNA (ENSSBOG00000006349.1)
Rfam family: Metazoan signal recognition particle RNA
About the family: The signal recognition particle (SRP) is a universally conserved ribonucleoprotein. It is involved in the co-translational targeting of proteins to membranes. The eukaryotic SRP consists of a 300-nucleotide 7S RNA and six proteins: SRPs 72, 68, 54, 19, 14, and 9.
Source: RNAcentral